Ovis aries (sheep) is the source of this 57-nucleotide transfer RNA. It matches the Rfam family "tRNA", at positions 8 to 63 of the family's 71-position model. From Rfam's summary of the family: Transfer RNA (tRNA) molecules are approximately 80 nucleotides in length. The record is from Rfam. Lineage: Eukaryota; Metazoa; Chordata; Mammalia; Artiodactyla; Bovidae.
UAGCUCAGUUGGUAAAGAAUCUGCCUGCAAUUCAGGAGACCCAGGUUCAAUUCCUGG